This 813-nucleotide ribosomal RNA is filed under the name uncultured archaeon. RNAcentral's name for it is "bacterial SSU rRNA". It matches the Rfam family "Archaeal small subunit ribosomal RNA", at positions 88 to 902 of the family's 1478-position model. The record is from RNAcentral.
GCUCAGUAACACGUGGAUAAUCUGCCCUUGGGUCUGGGAUAACUCCGGGAAACCGGAGAUAAUACCAGAUAGAUCACAGAUGCUGGAAUGCCCUGUGGUCCAAAGCUCCGGCGCCCAAGGAUGAGUCUGCGGCCUAUCAGGUUGUAGUGGGCGUAACGGACCCACUAGCCUACGACGGGUACGGGUUGUGAGAGCAAGAGCCCGGAGAUGGAUUCUGAGACAUGAAUCCAGGCCCUACGGGGCGCAGCAGGCGCGAAACCUUUACAAUGCGCGCAAGCGCGAUAAGGGGACCUCGAGUGUUCCUACCUAGUAGGAACUGUCCAGUUGUCUAAAAAACAACUGUUAGCAAGAGCCGGGCAAGACCGGUGCCAGCCGCCGCGGUAACACCGGCGGCUCGAGUGGUGACCGCUUUUAUUGGGUCUAAAGGGUCUGUAGCCGGUCUAACAAGUUCUUUGGAAAAUCUGGUCGCUUAACGAUCAGGCUGCUAGGGGAUACUGUUAGACUUGGGACCGGGAGAGGCUAGAGGUACUUUAGGGGUAGGGGUGAAAUCCUGUGAUCCUUAAAGGACCACCAGUGGCGAAGGCGUCUAGCUAGAACGGAUCCGACGGUGAGGGACGAAAGCUGGGGGCACGAACCGGAUUAGAUACCCGGGUAGUCCCAGCCGUAAACGAUGCGAGCUAGGUGUCAGUUUUACUGCGAGUAAAACUGGUGCCGUAGGGAAGCCGUGAAGCUCGCCACCUGGGAAGUACGGCCGCAAGGCUGAAACUUAAAGGAAUUGGCGGGGGAGCACUACAACGGGUGGAGCCUGCGGUU